UACGGAAGGCAGCAGUGGGGAAUAUUGCACAAUGGGCGCAAGCCUGAUGCAGCCAUGCCGCGUGUAUGAAGAAGGCCUUCGGGUUGUAAAGUACUUUCAGUCGUGAGGAAGGUGUUAAGGUUAAUAACCUUAGCAAUUGACGUUAGCGACAGAAGAAGCACCGGCUAACUCCGUGCCAGCAGCCGCGGUAAUACGGAGGGUGCGAGCGUUAAUCGGAAUUACUGGGCGUAAAGGGCACGCAGGCGGUUAAUUAAGUUGGAUGUGAAAUCCCCGGGCUUAACCUGGGAAUGGCAUUCAAGACUGGUUAGCUAGAGUCUUGUAGAGGGGGUAGAAUUCCAUGUGUAGCGGUGAAAUGCGUAGAGAUGUGGAGGAAUACCGGUGGCGAAGGCGGCCCCUGGCAAAGACUGACGCUCAUGUGCGAAAGCGUGGGGAGCAAACGAGGAUUAGAUACC
Molecule: ribosomal RNA, 452 nt
Filed under: uncultured bacterium
Lineage: Bacteria
Description: bacterial SSU rRNA
Rfam family: Bacterial small subunit ribosomal RNA
Source: RNAcentral